UACGUAGGAGGCGAGCGUUGUCCGGAUUUACUGGGCGUAAAGGGCGCGCAGGCGGCAGCACAAGUACGAUGUGAAAUCUCCCUGCUCAACGGGGAGGGUGCAUUGUAAACUGUGCAGCUAGAGGACGGUAGAGGGGGGUGGAAUUGCUGGUGUAGCGGUGAAAUGCGUAGAGAUCAGCAGGAACACCCGUGGCGAAGGCGGCCCCCUGGGCCGUACCUGACGCUGAGGCGCGAAGGCUAGGGGAGCGAACGGG
Molecule: ribosomal RNA, 253 nt
Filed under: uncultured bacterium
Lineage: Bacteria
Description: partial 16S ribosomal RNA
Rfam family: Bacterial small subunit ribosomal RNA
Source: RNAcentral